UGGGAAUCCAGGUCGCCUAACUCCCAGGCAAAAGCUCUUUCUAGUAGAGUGUUUAGGACCAAGAAUAUGAAUAUGGAGGGGCGCCUGUCUGGCUCAGUCAUUAGAGCAUUCCAUUCUUGAUCUUGGGGUUGUAAAUUCGAGCUCCGUGUUGGGUGUAGAGAUUGCUUAAAAAUAAAAAUCUUAAAAAAAAAAAAAAAAGGAAUAUGAAUAUGGAGAAGCUACUCCACAAAUAACUUUGGGAAUUUAGAGUGGACUUUUCUUAGGCUUCCAGCUCAAAGAAGCCACUUAUCUGCCCCACUGUGAGUAAGCUGGCACUUAGUAGAUAAUCUCUAGGUCAAAGAUGGUGUGAAGGUGGUGCAACCAGCAUUCUAGGGGCAGAUUCUUAUCGGGACCAAACAGGUAUAUAAAUAAAUGCAGCACACCAGAUCUUCCAAAUUUUCAAGACAAGCCCAAACUCCAGGUAUUUAGGUGAAUUUUCCCACUUUUUAAAAUGUUGGUAACAUUCAGAAAUUCUAAAAAUGCCAUGUAGACUAAAGGGGACACACUUGUAGACUGGAUUUGCUCUGCUGGCUCUUCUUUGUGGAGGAGAGAGCCCUGGACAGGGAGUUAGAACAGCAGGCUGGUUCCUGGCAGCUGCUAGCUGGCUGAGGGGCCUUGAGAACCACUUUCUUUCACUGGGUUUGGGAGGGAAUUGGGGUCCUCUAUGCGACAAAGGGUGGGCUGCAUCAGCAGGACCCUGCAGCCCUUCCCAUCUGAUUCUCCUGUGAUGCGUGUUUGGCGACUGUCAUUUCCUUAGACUGGACUUAGGUCAUGGGAAAAGUGUCCAAAUGACCAGGAAGAGGCAGGAAUGGGGCCCAAGGAAAUGGAUCAUGACACCCCCGCUAAAGACAAAGUUCAACUCUGCUGCUGUCUGGCUCCAGCACUCCAAUAAGCAAAGAGUCAAGACCUGCUAAGCUGGUUGGAACAGGACUUCAUGGUGUAACGCAUGAGAGACGACUCAAUGCCAAAGACUGAGGUUACAGCAGGGUGUUUACAGCAGUGGCCAUACUCCAGAGUCCUUGACAACAGGUCUUGAGUCCCAAAGCUCUGAUGGAGAAGCAAAACUCCUUGAUGUGUUACUGACCCCACCGAUUCCAGGGGUCAGGAUUAGCCAGGGAGCCAAACAUCGAGAGUGGGUGUGGCAUGUCACCAGUCCAGAGGCCCUGCCGUGGAUAUAGGCUGGGACCCAGCAUUAGGCAAUCAACAGCCAGAACAUGAUCACCAGGGCCACAAACAGGAAGAGGCGUGAUAGGAACUGCUCAUCCACAUACUGGGGUGUUCCAGGGACAGCUGGGAGAAAGGAGGGAGAAAAGAGGCUGUCAGAACACUGCAGCUGUGAGCACUGCCUGUCUGGGCCAGAAUUGAGAACAUCAAUCUUCAUCUCUUUAGAACAGAACUCUGCACACUAAAAAGAUUUCCAAACCCCAAAUAACAUCAGGCAAAACAAAACUUGAAUUAUGAAGAUAUGUGGAAUAAUAUAACAAUGAGGACAAGGUCUCCAAUUUAUCCUAAGAGAGUCUGGUCUGCAGAUGUACAUAAAACAGGAAGCUCUUAGAGGAAACAAUAAAAGAAAAGCUGCUGUUAA
Long non-coding RNA from Lynx canadensis (Canada lynx), 1624 nucleotides. RefSeq lists it as uncharacterized. The transcript has 2 exons. The record is from RefSeq and is a predicted model, not a curated record. NCBI's taxonomy places the organism in Eukaryota, Metazoa, Chordata, Mammalia, Carnivora, Felidae.